UGAGUGCGAGCUUCUACGGAAGCGAAGUUGGUGACGUCAAGCUUCCAAGAAAAGCCCUAUACCCGUUAAGGCAUGAUUACCUGUACCCGAAACCGACACAGGUGGGGUGGUAGAGAAUACCGAGGGGCGCGAGGUAACUCUCUCUAAGGAACUCGGCAAAAUGACCCCGUAACUUCGGGAGAAGGGGUGCCAGCGCGAGCUGGUCGCAGUGAAUAGGCCCAGGCGACUGUUUACCAAAAACACAGGUCUCCGCUAAGUCGCAAGACGAUGUAUGGGGGCUGACGCCUGCCCAGUGCCGGAAGGUUAAAGAAGUUGGUCAGCGCAAGCGAAGCUAACGACUGAAGCCCCGGUGAACGGCGGCCGUAACAAUAACGGUCCUAAGGUAGCGAAAUUCCUUGUCGGGUAAGUUCCGACCCGCACGAAAGGCGUAACGAUCUGGGCGCUGUCUCGGAGAGAGGCUCGGCGAAAUAGAAUUGUCUGUGAAGAUGCGGACUACGUGCACCCGGACAGAAAGACCCUAUGAAGCUUUACUGUAGCUUGGUAUUGUGCUCGGGCUCGCAAUGCGCAGGAUAGGUGGGAGGCUUUGAUCCAUUGCUUGUGGGUGAUGGUGAGCCACUGGUGAGAUACCACUCUUUGCGAGCUAGGGUUCUAACGGUUACCCGUCAUCCGGGAACCGGACAGUAUCUGGUGGGCAGUUUGACUGGGGCGGUCGCCUCCUAAAAGGUAACGGAGGCGCGCAAAGGUUUGCUCAGGCUGGUUGGAAAUCAGCCGACGAGUGUAAAAGCAGAAGCAAGCUUGACUGUGAGACCUACAAGUCGAACAGGGAGGAAACUCGGCUUUAGUGAUCCGACGGUUCUGAGUGGAAGGGCCGUCGCUCAACGGAUAAAAGUUACUCUAGGAUAACAGGCUGAUCUCCCCCAAGAGUUCACAUCGACGGGGAGGUUUGGCACCUCGAUGUCGGCUCAUCGCAACCUGGGGCUGAAGUCGGUCCCAAGGGUUGGGCUGUUCGCCCAUUAAAGCGGUACGCGAGCUGGGUUCAGAACGUCGUGAGACAGUUCGGUCCAUAUCCGGUGCAUGCGCAGGAAUAUUGAGAGGAUUUCUCCCUAGUACGAGAGGACCGGGAGGAACGCACCUCUGGUGUACCAGUUAUCGUGCCAACGGUAAACGCUGGGUAGCCAUGUGCGGAGUGGAUAACCGCUGAAAGCAUCUAAGUGGGAAGCCCACCUCAAGAUGAGUAUUCCCAUGGCUUAAGCCAGUAAGGUCACGGGAAGAACACCCGUUGAUAGGCUCUAUGUGGAAGCGCAGUAAUGCGUGAAGCAGAGGAGUACUAAUAGACC
RNAcentral lists this ribosomal RNA (1337 nucleotides) under metagenome. RNAcentral's name for it is "bacterial LSU rRNA". It matches the Rfam family "Bacterial large subunit ribosomal RNA", at positions 1564 to 2910 of the family's 2925-position model. The record is from RNAcentral.